RNAcentral lists this transfer RNA (64 nucleotides) under Bolitoglossa alberchi. RNAcentral describes it as "partial tRNA-Gln". Lineage: Eukaryota; Metazoa; Chordata; Amphibia; Caudata; Plethodontidae. The record is from RNAcentral.
GUAUGUGGAUGCACUUAGAGUUUUGAUCUCUAUAGGGUAGGUUCAAGUCCUAUUUUUUUAGGAG